ACGCGCGGAACCUUACCAUCCCUUGACUUGCCCGUCGCGGGCCGGGAGACCGGUCCUUCAGUUCGGCUGGACGGUGCACAGGUGCUGCAUGGCUGUCGUCAGCUCGUGUCGUGAGAUGUUGGGUUAAGUCCCCGCAACGAGCGCAACCCUCGCUGCUAGUUGCCAGCAUUCAGUUGGGCACUCUAGUGGAACCGCCGGUGAUAAGCCGGAGGAAGGUGGGGAUGACGUCAAGUCCUCAUGGCCCUUACGG
RNAcentral lists this ribosomal RNA (250 nucleotides) under uncultured bacterium. RNAcentral describes it as "partial 16S ribosomal RNA". It matches the Rfam family "Bacterial small subunit ribosomal RNA", at positions 959 to 1207 of the family's 1533-position model. The record is from RNAcentral.